RNAcentral lists this small RNA (108 nucleotides) under Arabidopsis thaliana (thale cress). Its description in RNAcentral is "ATSL174430". The record is from RNAcentral. Lineage: Eukaryota; Viridiplantae; Streptophyta; Magnoliopsida; Brassicales; Brassicaceae.
UCUGUAAUCUGGUUUGGAUAUAUAUAUAUAUAUAUAUAAAUAACCCUUUUAAAAUCUGUUGUAAAUAUUUUAAAACCCUUUUAAAAUCCCUUGUAAAUUUUUUAAAAU